UUUCCGUAGGUGAACCUGCGGAAGGAUCAUUACUGAGUGCCGGACCCUCGUGGACCGAACCUCCCACCCUGGUAUCUUGUAUACCCUGUUGCUUUGGCGGGCCCCCUUGGAAUUCCCAGGCGCCGAGCGGCACCGCGCCCCUGGGCCCGUGCCCGCCAUAGCGCCCUUGCACCCUAAUGAAGAUGAACUGUCUGAGCAUGCUUGAUAAUAAUCAAAACUUUCAACAAUGGAUCUCUUGGUUCUG
RNAcentral lists this unclassified non-coding RNA (244 nucleotides) under plant metagenome. RNAcentral's name for it is "partial contains small subunit ribosomal RNA, internal transcribed spacer 1, and 5.8S ribosomal RNA". The record is from RNAcentral.